ACGCUGGCGGCAGGCCUAACACAUGCAAGUCGAGCGGUAGAGAGAAGCUUGCUUCUCUUGAGAGCGGCGGACGGGUGAGUAAUGCCUAGGAAUCUGCCUGGUAGUGGGGGAUAACGUUCGGAAACGGACGCUAAUACCGCAUACGUCCUACGGGAGAAAGCAGGGGACCUUCGGGCCUUGCGCUAUCAGAUGAGCCUAGGUCGGAUUAGCUAGUUGGUGGGGUAAUGGCUCACCAAGGCGACGAUCCGUAACUGGUCUGAGAGGAUGAUCAGUCACACUGGAACUGAGACACGGUCCAGACUCCUACGGGAGGCAGCAGUGGGGAAUAUUGGACAAUGGGCGAAAGCCUGAUCCAGCCAUGCCGCGUGUGUGAAGAAGGUCUUCGGAUUGUAAAGCACUUUAAGUUGGGAGGAAGGGUUGUAGAUUAAUACUCUGCAAUUUUGACGUUACCGACAGAAUAAGCACCGGCUAACUCUGUGCCAGCAGCGGCGGUAAUACAGAGGGUGCAAGCGUUAAUCGGAAUUACUGGGCGUAAAGCGCGCGUAGGUGGUUAGUUAAGUUGGAUGUGAAAUCCCCGGGCUCAACCUGGGAACUGCAUUCAAAACUGACUGACUAGAGUAUGGUAGAGGGUGGUGGAAUUUCCUGUGUAGCGGUGAAAUGCGUAGAUAUAGGAAGGAACACCAGUGGCGAAGGCGACCACCUGGACUGAUACUGACACUGAGGUGCGAAAGCGUGGGGAGCAAAC
This 745-nucleotide ribosomal RNA is filed under the name uncultured bacterium. RNAcentral's name for it is "bacterial SSU rRNA". It matches the Rfam family "Bacterial small subunit ribosomal RNA", at positions 33 to 773 of the family's 1533-position model. The record is from RNAcentral.